GGAAAAUAAAGCUGGAUUUUUCAUUCCUGCUCGGAGAGCGACUGUCAGCUCUAGAAACCCAGCUAGACGAGACUGAUUCUGGGAGCCAAAGAGCCGAAGUCACGCCAUGGCUGCUGGAUGCUCGCAUUCUUCUUUCGGGGGCGAUACGCAUCCUAUAGAUACUGUCCAUUUUCCGUGCUCUCCUUUAUUAAAGAUUAAGGUUCCUACAGCUAAUCUAAGGAAAAUGGGUCUAUUUCUCACCAAAGAGGAUUUUUGCUUUACAACCCAAAGAACCAAAAUCCAGUUCCAAUCAGAAACAUUUUAACUGUAGUCCUAAUUAAACUGUAGUCUUAUUUAAAGGCCCCAAUCAAAAUGUUAGUGUCUGUUAGAAAAAGUAUUGUCAUCACAGAACAGUGGCUCCAGUAUCCGUGUGGUCAGUCCCAUCGUAAUUAUACAGCCCAGUCCAUCAGCCCACAGUGUGGGGAUGAUACCACAGCGGUUCUCUGUUUAGACGCAACUCAAAUAAAGCAGUAUGUGCGAUGAUGAGUUGGAGCACUUUCCAGAGAAGAGGAUCAUCAAGAAUAAGAGUCAAACACCUGCUAUGCUGCCCUGAUUUAGUGCACCACACCAGUCCAGGUCCACUCAGUGUGUGUGUGUGUGUGUGUGUGUGUGUGUGUGCGCGUGCGUGUGUGUGCGUGUGUGUGCAUUGGACAUACUGACAUCAGCUGACAAACUGAUUCAGCCAGAGACAGCCACAGAGUUUAUGGCUUCAUCCGUCCUUUCAACAGCGUCUGAUUCAUAAGGAGAGCUCCGAAUUUGCUUCCGGAGUAAAGUCCCUGAUUAGUAUCUGUUAUUGGUGGCACAGGAUUCUCUGGGAGUUUAAAUUGUUUCAAUGUGAAGCGUUCUUACCAGCUCUUCGGUAGUGUGACCCACGAGAUGUCCUUUUGAUAAAGAGUUCCUGAAAACCAAACCUCAAAUCCGGACAGAUGCCUAAUGAUUGUUAACAGACUGGGAAGCAACAAUCUGCAAGAAGGCAAUUUGUUACAUGUUGUGGGUCUGGUGCAGUAAGGGACGUAUAGAAAAUAGCUGAUGGGACUUAAUUGUCUCUUUCUGGAGGAAGAUGCAGACCUAAUUGUCUUUACACCUUCAAACAUCAAAUGUACAAACCCAAAAGAAAAUAUGACCAAGUGAAAUCUCUCGUGUAUGUGUAUGUAUAUUUCCUACAUGCCAUGAAUUUUGUGUGCAGGUGUCUGAAGAAGUAUUUGAAAGUAAUGUGUUAGUUGUAAACCUGUCUAAACAGCUGGUGUGUAUUUAUUACCACAGCUCGAGUAAUAUUAUGGUAAACUUGCAAUCUUUUUGGAUGUUAAGUUUACUGAAACAAAUACACCUGACAUUAAAUCCACCCACUAGCCUGGCUUCACAUGGAGUAAAAGAUCACAUGGUUGAACAAAACACGAAUUCCCUAAAAUGCGAAUGCGGCGGAAAGUGACAGGUGUCGCGUUUACCAAAACAUACCGCCGAGGAAGCACUUGCGCGGGCCAUUGGAUGGGAUCUGCUCGGAAUCUUCGGCUACCUGCUAAUGUACACCCAUCACUCACCUGGGCCGCAGAGCCGGAGCAGGUGAGGGCGAGCGCAGACCGCACGGCGCGACACACAGCUGUGCCGCGUGUGUGAGAAAGACAGGACUACGACAACCCAACAACCUCCAUCAUUACCGCAGCAGCAGGGGUCAGAACAGUCUGCCCAGCAUCCCCCCACCUGCCCAAAAAUUGCCCUCCAAAAUGACCAAUUACCCGAGUUAGGUGCUACUGGGAGAAAUAGAAAAAUCCGCCCCAAUAGAUGGUUACUUAAUGCAUCAACAAGGAGGAAAAGAAAUGACUGCAGAAUUGUCACUUGUGGUAUUUUUCCUCGUUGUAUCUGCGGGCUAAAGGCUCGAGACAGGCAGUCAUCAAAUGUUCAAACUAAGCAGUAAAUUAAAAUCAAUGAAAGCCGUAUAAGUCAGGGAAAACAGAGCGAUUUGGAUGCGAGGGAAGCCAAGGCCUGGCAGAUGAUUUCAAACAGCUGGGAGCUGGAACACAAUCCAUGUACUGCAAGUCUGCCUUUACUCUUUAUUUAGAUGUCUUGUUUUACGCAUAUUCAAACGAGGUUUGAUUUGCUUCACUUUGUCCAAUAAUUAAAAGACCGAAAACAUGCACAUUUUCCAAUUAAACAAUUAGGCGCGCGCGGCGGAGGGGCCAGCGCGCGCGCGCCUCUCCGUCCCGUUUCGCGUUUUUGUUCCGAGGUAAGUCCCGAACAAAGACGGGCAGGGGUCAGUACUCGAGCACACCUGAACGCGUUCCCCUCUCCCUUGAUCUCCUAAGGCAGCCCGCCAUUAGUCUUAAUAAUGGAAAAUUGUCAUGUUGAUACAAGACUCCCUCUCUCGUUCUGAAUAAGUUGUAGUUGGAAGCGCCAUUUAUUUCCAAGUUCUUUGUGCCCAAAGGCCAGGGACGGUGCUUUUGUGGUGGGGAAGAGAAAAAGGUGCUGGAUGCUCUUUCCAUAGUCAAGAUAAUUAUCCCCACUGUGACCUUAAUGAUCCACCCUUCUCCCCCGGCGACUUGUGCGCGCCUCGCAGCGCGCCUCAGCCGCUCUGCGCCCGCCUCCCCCCUCCGUGCCCUGUGUCAGGGAAUAUGAAAACCCCUAUAAUGAAACCAUUUUGGCUGAUGGAAAAAGGGCUCCUCGAGCCGCACUUGCCACAAAGACGGCUCAAUUAUGUGAGUAAUUGUGAUAAUUUUCCAUCCAUUCAUGGGCUCUCUCUGAAAGAGAAGGAAAGAGAGGAGAAAACAGAGAGACACUGAAAGGGAAAUUACACAGACAAUGUCGAGUGUGAAAAUUGUUACACAAAAAUGACUGUAAGAAAAGUGUAAGUCUAUAAAUAAAUAUGUUAAUGCAGGGAGGCCGAGAUCCCACGUCACAAACAAAAGGCGCGGUCGGUCGGAUGACCGCUAUAGGAGGAGAAUAAUGCCGAGAUGAAAGUACGUGUGCAGCUGUCUGAAAAUUAAAGCUCUUUCGACUUCCUACUGACAAAGCUGAGCCCCUAAAAAAGCACCCCAGUGGUUAGAGAUCAUUUGGAGCCCUGUGACAGGAAAAAGGAUAAUUACCUCUCUGAGAGAGAGGAGAGAGAGAGGAGAGGCAGGCGGACUGACGCGCCCUUCAGACGCGCUGCUGAAUGCGCGAGCUUGAUAGAAGGCAGGGAGAAUAAUUUUGUGCUUUGCUUUUUCUUUUAUUCCACCGAGCAUGUUUUGUUGGCUGGAAGACAAGGAGGCGAGUGCCGCUGAGUGCAUUAAACCCUGGGUGUUCGCAAAUAUAAGGUUCCUCCGUCCAUCAUCUCGUGCUUUGAGAAGAAGUCUGAAAUGCAUUAAAAUGUCUCGGACGACGGAGGCGCUGAGAUGCCGCAUUAGACUUCGGCUUCCCAGCGGGAGACAGAUUAAACAUUUCCUCGCCCUAUUCCUCAAGGAUACUCGGGCUCUCUACGAAGAAAAGCUAUUCUGCGUCAUUUCGCCAAUGGCAAAUUCCUACCUGUGAUUGCCUUUCGAUAGUUCUCCAAUGAAAUUUGUGUUCAAAUAUGUGAAGAGUUUGGUUCCAAAAUGAGAUAACUCCGUUUAAAAAAAAUCAAAAUCAUGUUUUUUAUUGUGCAUUCCAAUUAAUAUCAAUCAAACUGCAGUUGGUUUGUUAAAAAUACAGCUAACUAACACAAAACAACACCAUGAAAACAUAAUAAUAACAUGAUUUUUGUUAUCUCAGUUUGGAACCAAACUCGUCAUUUCCACUUCCAAAGUGGAAAUAUACACUGGAGCACGUCUGAUAUUCCAACAGAAUUCAAAUUCAAUAUCAAUUAUCCUUCACAGCAACCACAAAUCACACACAAUGGCAGAAGCAUUGUAUCUCCUUCCCCUUUCCACUCUCUCCGUCCUAAACUGUUCCCACAUGUCUGAAGUCUGACCCCCUGUGUGAGGGACCACAGACAUCUGGAGAAAUUGCAGCAUGCGGUCUAGGCCGCUGGGCGCUCGAUGAUUCGGAUACGAAUCCGUCAACCGAUAUACCCGUGAUUCGUCACUGUCAUGGCCGAAUCCGAUGCUGCACUUUCAAAAGAGGACACUGACUUAACAUGUUUUUAUUGUCUCUUUUUACACACAAUAUCGUCUUUCAUGGCAGCACAUAUACUUGCACACUUGGACAUGCACCUGGACCCUGUAAUGGCUGACCGGUUGUCAUAUCACUAUGGUAAUUGGUCCAAUUCUUAAGAAUCAGCUAAGCGUGUCAUGUCAACAUUUAACAUCUCCAUCAGCAAGAAACAAACAGACAGACACCAAUGUCCUUCAGUCGCCAACAGUAACAACAAAAACAGUUAUUAUCAUCAAUUAGAAUGAAGUAAUAACUUGAUUUGCAUGUCUGUCAGAUGCUAAAACGCAUCUUAAUAAAGAGCGUAAUAAGCAUAACAAAAGAAGACAGCACAACAACACACCUGCGCAAUGUUAAAUAUAUGAAUAAGUAAAAAUAGUAAUAAUCAAAUGAGUGAUGGCAGUCCAAAUGGUUUCUACCGCGUGAGCAAACGGUGUCAUUUUUAGAAAAGCCUUUUCAUAAUUUCUGAAAUUUAAGAUUUUUAUUUGUUUGUGACAUUGCUUCACAAUUGGUCAACAAAUAAGUGAAAUAAAUGCAGUUUUUGGGAUAAAAAACAAUUGGAGUCAUUGGCACUAUGGUUCAACUGGCUCAGGUAAAGUUCUGUAAAUUUAAGGAAUAUAACAAAUUUGUUAUUGUACCAAUUAAAAAAAAAUAGAUGUAACCGGUCACUAGACAUUUUUGAGUUGAGGCCUGUGUGAUAUCAUACUAUAUCAUAUUCAUGUACCAUUAUUUAAAAAAAUACAACAGGUUGCCAUGACCUCAAUGUGAGAGCGUAAGCCUCUGUCCAUGACUGGUGAAUACAGGUGUGCAAAAAUGUAAAAACUGAAAUCAAAACAGUUCAUCUGUGUUUUAUAGACCGCAGUGCUGUCGACAUGUUGGUAAAGCCCCAGACCCCUGGAGCACAAGUAAGGGAUUGAAGGGCCGCUGCUCCGGAUGUGUGUGCGUGUGUCAGCUGCUGUUAUAAAUGUAGGGGCAGUGUGAGGGAUGGGUCGAGCUGUCUGCGCAGAGUGAUGCGGGCAGGGCCGCCCGGCUGCUGACUCCACUCUAAUGACAGAGAGGGUAAUGACAGAGCCCCAAACAGCAGGAAGAGGAAGAUCAAUCUACAGCCCGAGAUGGAGAGAUGGAAGAGAGGGGAAGGACGCGGCGCAAAAAAACAGGGCAGUGCGAUUUCUAUUACGUUCUCUCUCUGCGUGUUAGCCUGUCUGCGAGCUUGUCUACCCCCCCGCCUCGCUGUGGCUGUCAGCCCACGCCGCACAUUAAAAACACAGCGGAUCGAUAACUAUUAACACUCGUCAGGAGAGCCGCACUGCUCGCAUCUCACGCUCCGUAUCCAAUCCUGCGCCUCGCUCUCUUUCGCCAUCUCUCUCUGACCGUGGCGCUGGUCUGGCUCAUGGGCUCAUGAUGCCUGGGGUCAGUGGGAAUUGAGGAACGUGGGGAAGGAUGGACAGAGUGUGGAGAGGGUGAAAUGAAACGAGACGGGACUCACUAACCAGCUGCCCGAGCAAACAGCACACAUUCCUCACUCCUAAUCUGCUGUUUUUCCUCCUACAAAACAACAGCAAAAACAUCCAAAUAAAUCAGGUCUUCAUGCAGUGGGGUCCAAAGAUCUGAGAACACCUUGGAAAAACGUUUUCAUAUUAACAGGAAAAUAAUGUUUUUGAAAAAUCAUAAACAAUAAAAGGGUAUGAUGGAAAAUAAAAGCUUAUAAAAGUCGGCACCGUUGGUCACGGGACCAAAUGUUAAUAAAUUAAAUUUUUAUUUGUAAAGCUGAAAAUAGUUUGUGGGUCUUUUUUUCUUUUUUGUCUUUGCUGUUAAUGAGAGUGUGCUAGAUUAUCUGUUAUUUGAUCCCUUGAAGCACAUACCAUACAUUCUUACAUCAUGCUGGUGUGACAUUGCAACUAGGUAAUUCUCUCAAAAGCAUGUUGAUAUUAAUACAUUUAUUAUUCAAUUUAAUAUGAAUAAAAUU
This is a long non-coding RNA of Triplophysa rosa, 6103 nucleotides long. RefSeq lists it as uncharacterized. The transcript has 3 exons. The record is from RefSeq and is a predicted model, not a curated record. NCBI's taxonomy places the organism in Eukaryota, Metazoa, Chordata, Actinopteri, Cypriniformes, Nemacheilidae.